This 759-nucleotide ribosomal RNA is filed under the name Triticum aestivum (bread wheat). RNAcentral's name for it is "partial small subunit ribosomal RNA". The record is from RNAcentral. Lineage: Eukaryota; Viridiplantae; Streptophyta; Magnoliopsida; Poales; Poaceae.
AUGGCCAGCCAUGCGGAGUUGACUCAAACCACACUUAGAAAUCACCACAAGAGUGUUGCAUCUGUAGUGAUACAUCAGAAGAACGGGACUUUAGCCGGCAGCGGUUUCAUCGCCAGGGAAGCAACAGAACACAGUAGAGCACUUGUUAUGACAGCCGACCAUGUCGUCGAGUUUUUCGAGCCUGCUAAGAAUGACAAGCUAUGCAUUAGACUACCUGGGUUAGACCGGGAGCUCGAGUGUGAGAUACGCCACCGGGAUAACUUCAAAGACCUAGCAGCUAUCGCUGUGUCGGGAGUGCCUGAUGGGUAUCCGGCUCUGAGAUUUUCCCGUGAAAGAGACUUACCAAUUGGCACCGCCGCCGUGUUAGUGGCAUACUACAAUCCAGAUAAGUUGGCAAAGACUAAGGGUCCUAUUCUCGUGAAGCCUGGAGCAUGUGGUGGAACCAUUGUUGGGCCACCAGUCAGGAUAACUAAAAACAUUGAAUGGACGGAACGUAUUAGGCAUGAGUGCGCAACGAUGAGUGGAUGCUCAGGAGGACCUGUUAUCGUCAAUGGUCAUGUCGUUGGAGUGAAUCAGUACGGUGAUAAUACGAGUGGAUUGGCCGCUAGUUUUGUAACUGUGGAGGCAGUUGUGAAAAACUGGGCUCAAAAAGAUGGUGUAAGCAGUUGUAACCCAUAUGGUAUCACCAAUUACUGCUCUUCCUUCUGCUUAGUACUAAUUUCUGUUGCACGCACUACAUUUUUCAGGAUCAUAGCCUAG